UGUGAGAUAUGAAAUGCAUCAGGCCAGCAUGGGUAUCAGGAUGAAGUCACAGACUAAGGUCUUCAUAUUCCUAUUGCUCUGGUUGUCUGGUGCUGAUGGAGACAUUGUGAUGACCCAGUCUCCCAUAUCCAUGUCUACAUCAGUAGGAGACAGAAUUUCUCUGACCUGCAAGGCCAGUCAGAAUGUGGGUAGUGCUGUAGCCUGGUACCAACAAAAACCAGGGCAGUCACCUAAACCUCUGAUCUAUGCGGCAUCCAACCGGUACACUGGGGUCCCUGAUCGAUUCACGGGCAGUGGAUCUGGGACAGAUUUCACUCUCACCAUCAGCAGUGUGCAGGCUGAAGACCUAUCCAUUUAUUUUUGUCAGCAGUAUAGCAGCUAUCCUCCCACAGUGCUUCAGCCUCCUACACAAACUUCCUCUAACCAGCUGCCUGUACCACACAUCCCCAGACCCUCCCCUUUGGCCUACAGCUGCUAUGUCUAACUGUUGCAAAGUUUGUUAGAAAGUUAAUGAACAGAUGCUUUGACUUGGAAGAUCCUUAUGGAAAAACAAAGUAAAGACAUUUGUGUCUUUUUUAUUCCUCA
This is a non-coding RNA of Grammomys surdaster, 585 nucleotides long. Lineage: Eukaryota; Metazoa; Chordata; Mammalia; Rodentia; Muridae. The record is from the annotation of a RefSeq genome assembly.